RNAcentral lists this ribosomal RNA (424 nucleotides) under uncultured bacterium. RNAcentral describes it as "bacterial SSU rRNA". It matches the Rfam family "Bacterial small subunit ribosomal RNA", at positions 355 to 796 of the family's 1533-position model. The record is from RNAcentral.
UGGGGAAUAUUGGACAAUGGGGGAAACCCUGAUCCAGCAAUGCCGCGUGAGUGAUGAAGGCCUUAGGGUUGUAAAGCUCUUUCGGCGGGGACGAUGAUGACGGUACCCGCAGAAGAAGCCCCGGCUAACUUCGUGCCAGCAGCCGCGGUAAUACGAAGGGGGCUAGCGUUGUUCGGAAUUACUGGGCGUAAAGCGCACGCAGGCGGCUCGUUGAAUUAGAAGUGAAAGCCCUGGGCUCAACCCGGGAAUUGCUUUUAAGACUGGCGAGCUAGAAUCCGGAAGAGGGUAGCGGAAUUCCCAGUGUAGAGGUGAAAUUCGUAGAUAUUGGGAAGAACACCGGUGGCGAAGGCGGCUACCUGGUCCGGUAUUGACGCUCAGGUGCGAAAGCGUGGGGAGCAAACAGGAUUAGAUACCCCGGUAGUCC